AACGAACGCUGGCGGCAUGCCUAACACAUGCAAGUCGAACGAGACCUUCGGGUCUAGUGGCGCACGGGUGCGUAACGCGUGGGAACCUGCCUUUAGGUUCGGAAUAACUCAGAGAAAUUUGAGCUAAUACCGGAUGAUGUCUUCGGACCAAAGAUUUAUCGCCUUUAGAUGGGCCCGCGUUGGAUUAGCUAGUUGGUGGGGUAAAGGCCUACCAAGGCGACGAUCCAUAGCUGGUCUGAGAGGAUGAUCAGCCACACUGGGACUGAGACCCGGCCCAGACUCCUACGGGAGGCAGCAGUGGGGAAUAUUGGAAAAUGGGCGAAAGCCUGAUCCAGCAAUGCCGCGUGAGUGAUGAAGGCCUUAGGGUUGUAAAGCUCUUUUACCCGAGAUGAUAAUGACAGUAUCGGGAGAAUAAGCUCCGGCUAACUCCGUG
Molecule: ribosomal RNA, 433 nt
Filed under: uncultured bacterium
Lineage: Bacteria
Description: partial 16S ribosomal RNA
Rfam family: Bacterial small subunit ribosomal RNA
Source: RNAcentral